Molecule: long non-coding RNA, 442 nt
Organism: Oncorhynchus tshawytscha (Chinook salmon)
Lineage: Eukaryota; Metazoa; Chordata; Actinopteri; Salmoniformes; Salmonidae
Source: Ensembl
ACAGGCAGGCCAGAGAGCUAGAGAAAGGCAGGCCAGAGAGCUAGAAACAGGCGGGACAGAGAGAUAGAGACAGGCAGGCCAGAGAGAUAGAGACAGGCAGGCCAGAGAGAUAGAGUUAGUUGGGCCAGGGAGAUAGAGAGAGGUGUGCCAGAGAGAUAGAGACAGGUGGGCCAGAAAGAUAGAGAAAGGUGGGCCAGAGAGAUAGAGACAGGCGGGCCAGAGAGAUAGAGACAGGUGGGCCAGAGAGAUAAAGACAGGUGGGCCAGAGAGAUAGAGACAGGCGGGCCAGAGAGAUAGAGACAGGCAGGCCAGAGAGAUAGAGACAGGCAGGCCAGAGAGAUAGAGUUAGGCGGGCCAGGGAGAUAGAGAGAGGUGGGCCAGAGAGAUAGAGACAGGUGGGCCAGAGAGAUAGAGACAGGUGGGCCAGAGAGAUAGAGACAGG